This is a long non-coding RNA of Spinacia oleracea (spinach), 767 nucleotides long. RefSeq lists it as uncharacterized. The record is from RefSeq and is a predicted model, not a curated record. NCBI's taxonomy places the organism in Eukaryota, Viridiplantae, Streptophyta, Magnoliopsida, Caryophyllales, Amaranthaceae. The transcript is spliced from 2 exons.
GUACGAAUUGUGUGGUCUUGGUUGUACACGUAACCCAUUUCGUUCCUUAUUAAAUGUCAUAAGUGUGACCUUUCAACUGCUUGUACGUUUAUUUCAUACACAAAAUUUCUCUCCCUCUCCCUUGUUUUCUCUCUUACUCCCAACUCCAUUUCCUCACCUGCAAAUAUACAUUGUCAACCGUACCAUAUCCGUACCAAUUCAGCAAGCUAAGGGCCACCAAAAAAAAUGGUGACAAUGGGAUUGGAGAGGUUGAUGGGGACAUUCAAGACAAAGUUGCGGAGGUCUUUCAAGGGGAAAAAACCUCAUGAUUAUGAUGAGAUUGAGAAGAGUGAGAGUAUGAGAAUCGAGAUUAGAAGCAAAAAAGCUCGAAAAUUGAUUGAAGAGACUCUCAAAUUUGCUGAUUCUCCCACUAAGAAAACGCUUUCCAUUUGAUAUUAUAUUGGAGUGUUAUCUUCAACAACCUAUAUCUUAAUUAUGGUGGUACAUCAAUUAUUAUUAUUAUUGUACAAUUCACACACUAGUCACAUGUUAAGCGUCUAUACUCUAUACUCUAUAGGGAAGCAAAAUAUGCAGUUCAUUUUGUCAUCACAUUCAAGAUUAUCAAGACAUCGACUCUUUAGUUUUAAUUAACUAUGAGAUCGAAAAGGUUACCAUAUAUAAAACCAUCGUUGUAUUUCCAAAGGAAUAAAAAAAAAUGGAUGCAACAUGUAUGAGUUGAGGUUGUUUUAUGGUUAUACCGUUAUGUUAAACUUGUGAUCGUAUUGUGA